This 853-nucleotide ribosomal RNA is filed under the name Microbacterium phyllosphaerae. RNAcentral describes it as "bacterial SSU rRNA". It matches the Rfam family "Bacterial small subunit ribosomal RNA", at positions 20 to 873 of the family's 1533-position model. Lineage: Bacteria; Bacillati; Actinomycetota; Actinomycetes; Micrococcales; Microbacteriaceae. The record is from RNAcentral.
GCGCUCAGGAUGAACGCUGGCGGCGUGCUUAACACAUGCAAGUCGAACGGUGAAGCCCAGCUUGCUGGGUGGAUCAGUGGCGAACGGGUGAGUAACACGUGAGCAACCUGCCCCUGACUCUGGGAUAAGCGCUGGAAACGGCGUCUAAUACUGGAUACGAGUAGCGACCGCAUGGUCAGUUACUGGAAAGAUUUAUUGGUUGGGGAUGGGCUCGCGGCCUAUCAGCUUGUUGGUGAGGUAAUGGCUCACCAAGGCGUCGACGGGUAGCCGGCCUGAGAGGGUGACCGGCCACACUGGGACUGAGACACGGCCCAGACUCCUACGGGAGGCAGCAGUGGGGAAUAUUGCACAAUGGGCGCAAGCCUGAUGCAGCAACGCCGCGUGAGGGAUGACGGCCUUCGGGUUGUAAACCUCUUUUAGCAGGGAAGAAGCGAAAGUGACGGUACCUGCAGAAAAAGCGCCGGCUAACUACGUGCCAGCAGCCGCGGUAAUACGUAGGGCGCAAGCGUUAUCCGGAAUUAUUGGGCGUAAAGAGCUCGUAGGCGGUUUGUCGCGUCUGCUGUGAAAUCCGGAGGCUCAACCUCCGGCCUGCAGUGGGUACGGGCAGACUAGAGUGCGGUAGGGGAGAUUGGAAUUCCUGGUGUAGCGGUGGAAUGCGCAGAUAUCAGGAGGAACACCGAUGGCGAAGGCAGAUCUCUGGGCCGUAACUGACGCUGAGGAGCGAAAGGGUGGGGAGCAAACAGGCUUAGAUACCCUGGUAGUCCACCCCGUAAACGUUGGGAACUAGUUGUGGGGUCCAUUCCACGGAUUCCGUGACGCAGCUAACGCAUAAGUCCCCGCUGGAAACCCCCAC